UUCCAGGGGAAGGUUCGUCCGCCCUGGGUUAGUCGGGACCUAAGCUGAGGCCGAAAGGCGUAGGUGAUGGACAACAGGUUGAUAUUCCUGUACUACCGAUAACCAUUUGAGAGAAGGGAUGACACAGUAGGAUAAGCUAAGCACACUGUUGGUUAUGUGUGCCCAAGCAUUGAGGCAGUCAAAGUAGGCAAAUCCGCUUUGAUAAUGCUGGG
Molecule: ribosomal RNA, 212 nt
Filed under: Clostridioides difficile
Lineage: Bacteria; Bacillati; Bacillota; Clostridia; Peptostreptococcales; Peptostreptococcaceae
Description: partial 23S ribosomal RNA
Rfam family: Bacterial large subunit ribosomal RNA
Source: RNAcentral